Molecule: ribosomal RNA, 371 nt
Filed under: uncultured bacterium
Lineage: Bacteria
Description: bacterial SSU rRNA
Rfam family: Bacterial small subunit ribosomal RNA
Source: RNAcentral
GGAGGGCGCAAGCGUUGUUCGGAAUUACUGGGCGUAAAGCGCGUGUAGGCGGCCAGGUAAGUCGGAUGUGAAAGCCCGGGGCCCAACCCCGGAACUGCACCCGAUACUGCCUGGCUGGAGUCCCGGAGAGGAUGGCGGAAUUUCCGGUGUAGAGGUGAAAUUCGUAGAUAUCGGAAGGAACACCAGUGGCGAAGGCGGCCAUCUGGACGGUGACUGACGCUGAGACGCGAAAGCGUGGGGAGCAAACAGGAUUAGAUACCCUGGUAGUCCACGCCGUAAACGUUGGGUGCUAGACGUCGGGGGUAUUGACCCCUCCGGUGUCGAAGCUAACGCAUUAAGCACCCCGCCUGGGGAGUACGGCCGCAAGGCUA